RNAcentral lists this microRNA precursor (83 nucleotides) under Notamacropus eugenii (tammar wallaby). RNAcentral's name for it is "miRNA (ENSMEUG00000017933.1)". The record is from RNAcentral. Lineage: Eukaryota; Metazoa; Chordata; Mammalia; Diprotodontia; Macropodidae.
GACACUUUAUAAGUACUUGUUGAAUCUUAGUUGAGUGAAUAGAUUUAUCACUCAAUCAACAAACAUUUAUUAAGUGCCUGCUA